This 493-nucleotide ribosomal RNA is filed under the name uncultured bacterium. RNAcentral's name for it is "partial 16S ribosomal RNA". It matches the Rfam family "Bacterial small subunit ribosomal RNA", at positions 29 to 523 of the family's 1533-position model. The record is from RNAcentral.
AUUGAACGCUGGCGGCAUGCCUCACACAUGCAAGUCGAACGGUAACAGGUUAAGCUGACGAGUGGCGAACGGGUGAGUAAUACAUCGGAACGUGCCCAGUAGUGGGGGAUAGCCCGGCGAAAGCCGGAUUAAUACCGCAUACGAUCUGAGGAUGAAAGCGGGGGCCCGUAAGGCCUCGCGCGAUCGGAGCGGCCGAUGUCAGAUUAGGUAGGUGGUGGGGUAAAGGCUCACCAAGCCAACGAUCUGUAGCUGGUCUGAGAGGACGACCAGCCUCACUGGGACUGAGACACGGCCCAGACUCCUACGGGAGGCAGCAGUGGGGAAUUUUGGACAAUGGGCGAAAGCCUGAUCCAGCAAUGCCGCGUGCAGGAAGAAGGCCUUCGGGUUGUAAACUGCUUUUGUACGGAGCGAAAAGGUCUCCUCUAAUACAGGGGGCUCAUGACGGUACCGUAAGAAUAAGCACCGGCUAACUACGUGCCAGCCGCCGCCGUGA